RNAcentral lists this transfer RNA (74 nucleotides) under Nitrososphaera viennensis EN76. RNAcentral describes it as "tRNA-Lys". It matches the Rfam family "tRNA". From Rfam's summary of the family: Transfer RNA (tRNA) molecules are approximately 80 nucleotides in length. The record is from RNAcentral. Lineage: Archaea; Thermoproteati; Nitrososphaerota; Nitrososphaeria; Nitrososphaerales; Nitrososphaeraceae.
GGGUUCGUAGCUCAGCCAGGUAGAGCGUUUGGCUCUUAAUUAAAAUGUCGUGGGUCCGAAUCCCACCGAACCCG